RNAcentral lists this long non-coding RNA (404 nucleotides) under Equus caballus (horse). Its description in RNAcentral is "lncRNA (ENSECAG00000031138.3)". Lineage: Eukaryota; Metazoa; Chordata; Mammalia; Perissodactyla; Equidae. The record is from RNAcentral.
UCCUUCUUUCUUUCUCUCUCUGUUUCUCUUUCUUUCUUGAGGAAUAUUGACACUGGGCUAAUAUCUGUUGCCAAUCUUUCUCUCUUUUUUUUUUUCUCCCCAAAGCCCCAGUACAUAGUUGUAUAUCCUAGUUUUAAUUCCUUCUAGUUCUUCUAUGUGGGAUACCGCCAUAGCAUGGUUUGGUGAGUGGUGUGUAGGUCUGCGUCCAGGAUCCAAACUGGCAAACCCUGGGCUGCCGAAGUGGAGAACAUGAACUUAACCAGCCAACGGGCCAUCCCUGCCCUGCACAAUAGAAUGAGCAUCCAGGAAUCUUCUGGCUGAAAAGGGAUGAAGAUGCAACAUGGACCACAGCUUGCUUUACAGUCAAGGCUUAAAGAAGUGAACAAAAUGUUUAAGACCAUGAG